GUUGUCGAACACUUGCUCCUGUUUAUUUCCUCAAAAUAUUUCUAUUUUUGCAUAGCCCAUGCCUCUAAUGCAAUAAUACUUCGGAAGAGUGAAUCUUACUGAAAUAAUGUCUUGAUCUUGGGAGCAUGAUAAAUCUCUCAACAAGGGUCUAACUCAUUUUGAACAAACUCAAUACAGAGCAGAUAGCUUUUAUAAUCAUAAUUAAUAUUUUCAGUUUUAUCAGGCAUAUAAAACACUGAGGAUGGUAGCUAGAAAUUUGAAUAUUUUGCAAUAAAUUCUCCAAGCAACAAUGAU
Molecule: long non-coding RNA, 294 nt
Filed under: Sorghum bicolor (sorghum)
Lineage: Eukaryota; Viridiplantae; Streptophyta; Magnoliopsida; Poales; Poaceae
Description: long non-coding RNA (SBIC_LNC004864)
Source: RNAcentral